UUUGGACCAGUUAAGUUUGGUUUCAAGUCACUCUGAUAUGUAGUGAAUUGACAUAAUGUACUUCUCAGAAACAUGACUGACAUGUCACAGUUUGUAGGAUUACUAUUAAUAGACCACUCUGCAGUUAUAAUCCAUGCCAUAUGUGUUGAUUGUGUCUCUCUUAUAUAAUAGGAAAUGUUAUUAACCAAAUUAAAAACCAAUGCACAACCACUCAUUAGAAUUGGACUUGUGAAACACUAGUACACCACAACUGAAACCAGAUCUGAAAGAGACUCCCCAGAGUCUAAAUAUAGAACACCUCACAGUGCAUCAUGGGAAGCGGUCAAGCUGAAGGUGCCCCGGGUGGGAAAGUUGGCUGUCCAGGACUAUUGUGGGGAUUCAUUUGGUUUCUGAUCUUGAUAUUCCUCGGAUGGCCAAUAGGAUUUUUUGUGGCAUGGUGGUACAUUUUCCUACUGCCGUUUUCUGCAUGCAUCGAGGCACUUAAAGACACUUGUGAACUUUUGCUAAGAAUAGUGAAACUGCCACUGACAUGUGCACAGAACAUGGUGGCCAUGAAACCUCUAUGUGGAUAACAAUUCUAUAUUGAAGACGUACCUGUCUACACCAGCAUUUGAAAUAAUAGUCUCAGCAUCACAAAUGUAAAUUAAAUGUCAUUUUGCUUGGUUUGUAGCUUUUGUAUUAUUAUUGCUUAAUAAUAAUGCAUUCUUUCAUUUAUGAUCUGUCACCUCUAGAUAUCAAUUUUUAAAUCAGCAUUAACUUACACGCAAUGUUGUAUCUGAUGUCAAUAAAAAAUCUUGUGUAAAAAAAUUGUUGUAUAUCCCAAACCCU
Long non-coding RNA from Dreissena polymorpha, 828 nucleotides. RefSeq lists it as uncharacterized. The transcript is spliced from 2 exons. Lineage: Eukaryota; Metazoa; Mollusca; Bivalvia; Myida; Dreissenidae. The record is from RefSeq and is a predicted model, not a curated record.